Molecule: unclassified non-coding RNA, 1482 nt
Filed under: Dermacentor andersoni
Lineage: Eukaryota; Metazoa; Arthropoda; Arachnida; Ixodida; Ixodidae
Description: uncharacterized LOC126526730
Source: RNAcentral
GAUCGGGGCGCAAGUGUGCGCUGGGUCGGUAGCUUGUGGUUGGAGGUCUCAAGCAGUGAAAAGUGCAAGUGUUUAAAUCCGCUGGCCGCGUGAGUCUUCCUUGUGUGUGAGUGUUUCAUAACGGCGGCAUGCCGCCGCGUCGCAAGGCAGCUGUUGACGCUGAAGAGAAGAAACGCAAACGAGCCGAGGCUGCGCGCGCUCGACGGGCCAGUGAAAGUGCCGACGCGCGCGCGGCUCGUCUCGCCAAAGCACGCGCCAGCCACGCCAAGAAGACAGGUGAAGCUCGCGAAGCCCGGCUCGCCCAAAUGCGUGCAUAUCGUGCACGCCAGGAGCGGCGGGACGUCCCGCAACGUUUGGACGCCCUGGAGCGGAACAGAGUCGCCCAACACAGACGCGUGGCUGCCGAGACUUCGGAGAAAUACAACGAGCGUCUCCUGCGUUGCAGGACGGCUAAGCAGAUCCGAUGGGCUUCGAUGAGCGAAGAAGAACGGCAAGCGGAAUUGGCUCACCGCAGAGAACUUCAAAGGACUCGGUACCUUCUGAUGCCGGCGAGGGAACGUGCACACUUGCUUGAUCGCAUGAGAGCGGCGGCUCGCGCUCGCCGAGCUGCAGCGACCAGCAAUGCAGAUCCUGCUGCACCGAGAACCGCACGGUGUGUCGUGCCAGUCUGCCACUCACGGUCAGCACCCAGCUCCAUCCUGUACCCCUUGCCUGCUGAGCCGUCCCAGCGCCAGGCUUGGAUUGACUUUGUGCGUGGGUGCCCCUGUGGUGAUGCCUGUGACUGGAACCCACCAACCAAUGAGAUCAGUUUCGUGUGCUCACUGCACUUCACAGUGCGCUGCUUCCGGUUUCAGCGACCACGUGGUGGCAGUGCGGGCUAUAGGAAGCGUCUAAAAAGGGGCGCAGUGCCAACGCUGUACCCGAUUGAAGAGCAGUGCAGUUCAACAGCCAAUAAGAAUUCCCUUGACAACACUGCAGAACGCUUGGCUUCCUCUGCCGUCGAAGAUGCAGAAAGGAGGACACGCAAUUCAUUGGCUUCCAGCCAGUCAGUUACAGCACGAGAUAAAGGACACCGUGCAAGUGACCAGAGCGCAGUGCGGAGGUUGUCACGUCUUGCAGCAGUCGAACUCAUCUUCCCCAGGGACAUCUCCACCCAGUGUAGCGUGGAAAUGGCCUCAAAGGCUGCCAGCUGUGUUGUCAGGACUCUGUCCAAGUCAGUGCAGUGCAGUGGGUGAAUGGCGUUCCUCUUCAGAGAUACUUCGAACGGAGAGCAGAUCUCAGCCGUGUGUGUGUGCGCCACGCCAUUACAACAGACCCAAGUGCCUAAGUGACUGUGCAGUUCUGUUGCUGUGAGAACCAAGGUUGCAGGUUUGAUUUCUGGCCGUGACCACUGCAGUCUACUGGGGAGCACAAAGCAAGAAUGCUGUUUCAUCAUGUUGUCUUCGCAGGCAAUAAACCAAGUGAUUGAAUGUUUCUUGAGAA